GAUGAACGCUAGCUACAGGCUUAACACAUGCAAGUCGAGGGGAAACGACAUCGAAAGCUUGCUUCCGAUGGGCGUCGACCGGCGCACGGGUGAGUAACGCGUAUCCAACCUGCCCACCACUUGGGGAUAACCUUGCGAAAGUAAGACUAAUACCCAAUGAUAUCUCUAGAAGACAUCUGAAAGAGAUUAAAGAUUUAUCGGUGAUGGAUGGGGAUGCGUCUGAUUAGCUUGUUGGCGGGGUAACGGCCCACCAAGGCGACGAUCAGGAGGGGUUCUGAGAGGAAGGUCCCCCACAUUGGAACUGAGACACGGUCCAAACUCCUACGGGAGGCAGCAGUGAGGAAUAUUGGUCAAUGGACGAGAGUCUGAACCAGCCAAGUAGCGUGCAGGAAGACGGCCCUAUGGGUUGUAAACUGCUUUUAUAAGGGAAUAAAGUGAGUCUCGUGAGACUUUUUGCAUGUACCUUAUGAAUAAGGACCGGCUAAUUCCGUGCCAGCAGCCGCAGUAA
Molecule: ribosomal RNA, 508 nt
Filed under: uncultured bacterium
Lineage: Bacteria
Description: partial 16S ribosomal RNA
Rfam family: Bacterial small subunit ribosomal RNA
Source: RNAcentral